This 502-nucleotide long non-coding RNA is filed under the name Anas platyrhynchos platyrhynchos (common mallard). Its description in RNAcentral is "lncRNA (ENSAPLG00000027021.1)". Lineage: Eukaryota; Metazoa; Chordata; Aves; Anseriformes; Anatidae. The record is from RNAcentral.
UGUUUUCCUGAGCUCUUUUCUGGAAGACCACAUGUUGUAUAUGGCUCCAACAAAGAAAGAAAAACAGUCAAGGUUUUAGCCCUGCCAGCAAUCCUGUCCCAGCUCAGACAGCCCAGCCUGCCUGCCUCUCCAUCCAUGCAGUAUGCAUACACAUACGCGCACCUUCCUGCCCGCAUCCAGCUCUCCUGUCAGAGGAUUCUGUCUUUGAACUGAACAAAGCCCUCACAAGCCAUGCUAUGAGUUGAGUCGCUUACCUCUGUCUCGGGAGGAGUUUAUCUCCCUUGACAAGGUUUUGUCUGGUGUUAGCAGCGGGGCUGAUGACAGGCUGUGCAUGCAGCAGCAUGUGACCCCGGCUCCUGGCCUCGGCGCAGGCAGUCGUCAGAGCUGUCACGCAGUCAGAACAAGUUAAUUCAAUGCGUGAAGGGCGAGGUGCGAGCUGUAAUAAUAUCAGGCCUCUGGAGAGGGUGCUGUCAUACAGCGUGUACUGGCGGCUGCCCCAGCU